This 614-nucleotide ribosomal RNA is filed under the name uncultured Actinomycetes bacterium. RNAcentral describes it as "bacterial SSU rRNA". It matches the Rfam family "Bacterial small subunit ribosomal RNA", at positions 35 to 639 of the family's 1533-position model. Lineage: Bacteria; Bacillati; Actinomycetota; Actinomycetes. The record is from RNAcentral.
GCUGGCGGCGUGCUUAACACAUGCAAGUCGAGCGAGAAAGCUCUUCGGAGUGAGUACAGCGGCGAACGGGUGAGUAACACGUGGGCAACCUGCCCUUGGGAGCGGGACAACCCGGGGAAACUCGGGCUAAUACCGCAUGUCCCCCUUGGUCAUAAGACUUUGGGGAAAAGGUAGCUUCGGCCUCCGCCCUUGGAUGGGCCCGCGUCGCAUUAGCUUGUUGGUGGGGUAACGGCCUACCAAGGCAACGAUGCGUAGCUGGUCUGAGAGGACGAUCAGCCACACUGGGACUGAGACACGGCCCAGACUCCUACGGGAGGCAGCAGUGGGGAAUCUUGCGCAAUGGGCGAAAGCCUGACGCAGCAACGCCGCGUGCGGGAAGACGGCCUUAGGGUUGUAAACCGCUUUCAGGGGGGACGAAGCUUCCGAGGUUAAUAGCCUACGGGGUGACGGUACCCCCAGAAGAAGCCCCGGCUAACUACGUGCCAGCAGCCGCGGUAAUACGUAGGGGGCGAGCGUUGUCCGGAAUCAUUGGGCGUAAAGCGCGUGUAGGCGGCUUGGCAAGUCUGGUGUGAAAUCUUGGGGCUCAACCCCAAGCGUGCACUGGAAACUGCCUC